GAUUUUUAUCAAAAUAAAUCAGACUUGUACAAUUCAUACAGUGUUUGGUUGGUUAACACUCGAAGACAGUUGUUACCCUGUCCCAAGUUUAUUAUCAAGUACCAGAAAUGAUCCUUCCGCAGGUUCACCUACGGAAA
This 137-nucleotide unclassified non-coding RNA is filed under the name uncultured fungus. Its description in RNAcentral is "sequence contains ITS1". The record is from RNAcentral. Lineage: Eukaryota; Fungi.